UUCCAAGUUAACAGGUUGUACC
This 22-nucleotide non-coding RNA is filed under the name Arabidopsis thaliana (thale cress). Lineage: Eukaryota; Viridiplantae; Streptophyta; Magnoliopsida; Brassicales; Brassicaceae. The record is from RNAcentral.